RNAcentral lists this ribosomal RNA (372 nucleotides) under uncultured organism. RNAcentral's name for it is "bacterial SSU rRNA". It matches the Rfam family "Bacterial small subunit ribosomal RNA", at positions 526 to 896 of the family's 1533-position model. The record is from RNAcentral.
CAGAGGGGGCAAGCGUUGUUCGGGAUUACUGGGCGUAAAGGGCGCGUAGGCGGCCUGCUAAGUCGAACGUGAAAUCCCUGGGCUCAACCCAGGAACUGCGUCCGAUACUGGUUGGCUUGAAUUCGGGAGAGGGAUGUGGAAUUCCAGGUGUAGCGGUGAAAUGCGUAGAUAUCUGGAGGAACACCGGUGGCGAAGGCGGCAUCCUGGACCGAUAUUGACGCUGAUGCGCGAAAGCCAGGGGAGCAAACGGGAUUAGAUACCCCGGUAGUCCUGGCCCUAAACGAUGAAUGCUUGGUGUGGCGGGUAUCGAUCCCUGCCGUGCCGAAGCUAACGCAUUAAGCAUUCCGCCUGGGGAGUACGGUCGCAAGGCUG